CCAGCGUGUUUAGUUUAAUGCCGGGCAACAGGACAGCUUUGGUCUCCUGAGGGAGGUUCAAGUUUAUGCCCUGGAGAUUAGAACCCCAUCAUAAAUCCAUACCAGUUAUAACCUUCCUCGUGCUUGCAUAAGACUUAACCAUUAUUACUAAAUUUGCCGAUUUAACAAGAUCAAAAUGGUCAUUCUGAGCAUAUCACACCUUCCACAUAGGCAAUGGAAAAAAGGUUCGUAUCUGAUUCUUACAACCAGAUGUAAAGAAGACUUUUCUCUUUUUUUCUGAAGCUAAUUAUGACUGACAGCCAUUUGUUAAAGUGUACUUAUGUGAACAGAGAUGAAAUAAUUUUUCUCCCUACCUGAUCCCUACAGAAUUUGGAAACUCUUACCCCAUAAACUGAAGCUAGAUGACAUGAUACAAACCUCAAAGAAAAUGUGAAGCCACAAUCAGUCGAGCCAAUCUUCUGCACACCUGCUCCUGGAUGGGCCACUCAUGAACUUUACUGGUGUACCCAAAAAUAUCACCAGGGACGUUCAAACUGCAAACCAGGAAAAUCCGUCAGAUUGCCACUGCCUGACCCCACGCCAUCUAAAGAUGCCUCGAGCCUGACAUCUAGAAAUCUCCACCGGCAGCUCCUGGGACUCAAAACUUUGUUUUUCUUUUGUUCCUAUAGAAACGUCUCUUAUUAAUUACUUGUUCGCUUGCACAAUAUAGGCCUAACUUUGGGAGUCCUGCUGCAUCACCGCUUCUUGAAAUGAGACACUGCUUCCUGAAAUGGGACUGCAGGGGAGAAGAAUUUUCGCCCUAGAAACGUGCGUCUUCGGCAUGAGGAUUACUGUGAGCUGAAGGCGAUCAAACCCCAGCAGAUUCAGGAAAGGCUCUUUUCCUGUCCCUCACAUGUCUAAAUUUACAUUAGAAAGUGUCCUGUACCGGGAAGAAAGUUACUAGCAGAGAUAGCUUUACCUAAGAACCGUGUCUGCAUAACAUAUCCUCUGGCUUCCUGUGAAUGGCCUUCCUCCUCUUUAUAUCCCCAGACCCCUAUCUGUUUCCUUGGCUAAGAGUGUUAUAUGAGCCUCAAUCACCUAUUUGCCCUUUGGCUCUCGUAUUUUUACUGGGCUCCCAUAGGUAUAAAAACGUAUUUUUCUACUGUUAA
Felis catus (domestic cat) is the source of this 1148-nucleotide long non-coding RNA. RefSeq lists it as uncharacterized. The record is from RefSeq and is a predicted model, not a curated record. Lineage: Eukaryota; Metazoa; Chordata; Mammalia; Carnivora; Felidae. The transcript is spliced from 3 exons.